UGGUGGAGCGAUUUGUCUGGUCAAUUCCGAUAAUAAACGAGACUAGCCUACUAAAUAGUUCGAGGACCCCCACAAAGGGGUCCCGCUUAUACUUCUUGGAGGGACAGGUGGCGUUAGCCACACGAGAUUGAGCAAUAACA
This 140-nucleotide ribosomal RNA is filed under the name uncultured eukaryote. Its description in RNAcentral is "partial 18S ribosomal RNA". It matches the Rfam family "Eukaryotic small subunit ribosomal RNA", at positions 1299 to 1458 of the family's 1831-position model. The record is from RNAcentral.